RNAcentral lists this small nuclear RNA (106 nucleotides) under Tursiops truncatus (common bottlenose dolphin). The record is from RNAcentral. Lineage: Eukaryota; Metazoa; Chordata; Mammalia; Artiodactyla; Delphinidae.
GCGCUCGCUUCGACAGCACAUAGGCUAACAUUGGAACGAUACAGAGAAGAUUAGCAAGGUCCCUGGGCAAGAAUGACAGCAAAUUCGUGACGUGUUCCAUACGGUG